GAUGCUACAGGGACACCCAGGGGUCAGAGGUCACAGGGUGUAGGGACACCCGAGGGUCACAGGGUGCAGGGAUACCAGGGGGUCAGAUGUUACUGGGGUCAGAGUCUCAAGGGGAACUUAAUUGGUGGGGUAAAAGGGGUCACAGGGCUCAAAUGCCCUUUGCCUUCCUGGGGUGGCCUUGGCUCUCUCCCCCCACAUCCAGCCCCCUUGGGUGCUCUGCUCCUCGAUGUAGCAGAGGAAGGUACACCGCCAUCUAAAUGCUGGGAGUUGGCAUUAGACAAACUCAGACUGGAAAUAAGUGUAAAUGUGUAACAGUGAGAGGCACAUAGGCAAUGGGGCUGCCUAACCACAUGACACAUUGAGGAUUUUUCCAGCACCUGGAGGAGAGUAUAAAAUAAGGGACAGUGACAUCACCAGGCCACCUCUUCUUCCUCCCUCCCCCCCAUAUUGAAAGUAACAAGAUUGUUUGGAAGACAUAGAAACAUUUGAACUGGGUGGGAGUGGUCCUAACUGGAAAAACUUUCCAUUUGACACAGACUGCUGUAGGGUUUUGGGGCUUUUAAUCUCAACUUCUGUGAUUCAUUGUGGAGUUACACACCUUUUGGGAGGUUGGCAAACACCCCAAUCCUCAGGUCAGCAUAAUGACACAACAGCCUGAUGCAAGCCCCUUCAUAGUGAAAUGGAGGUUCCUGUCUUCAUACCUGAUCAGUAGGAGACUGGGAGCCAGAGAAGCAACUGGAAAACCACAGAGUGACUUAAAGCUGAGAUCUACUCAGUACAGCUCCAAGUGACUCAACUGGCAAAGACAGAGGACUCUGACAAAAGAGAAAAUGGGAGGCUGCAAUCCAAACUGAUCUAAACCAUAAACUUUGAGCUGCGCAACGGACACCACUCUUGAAAUGGCUAUUUGCCUCCAGUAUCCUAGUUCCAGACAAUUUGGCUGCUUGGUCUAUUGCACGUCAUGUUCCCAGUGUAUCCUAUAUACCAGAACUAGACAUGUACAAGAAAAAAAGACCAAUGUGGCAAAGAUUUUCCUUUCUUGUUACAAUCCAUCCACUUUUACAAUGUUAACUUUUCUCGUGCUGUGAGGAGAAACUGAAAACCAGCAAUGCCCAAACCACACACAAAUUUGAGGUUUGUUUCACAGACGCACCAAAAAGCUCCCUUAAUUUUAGAGAAGGCAGCCAGCUAGAAUUGUGUGAACCUCUUAACCCUCUGGUCUUAAUGAAAAAUUCCACUCUGAGUGCUGACCUGGGAGUGGGUGGGUGUCAUAUAUGACUUGCUUGCUGCAUUCCAUUUCUUAUAAUUCUUUGGCCUUUCUGCAACAUUCCUUUCUUGGAUUUAUACCUUUUUAUGGUCUUGAAAUUCAUCUGUGGGGUUCCCUCUUCUCAUGGAACUACAAUAAAGUUGUUUUCUACUCUUUGUAUCUAGAUCUUCACUUAGCACAAAAUGGCACUGCCAGACAGAUUCCUUGUUUGAUUUACUUAACUCCACUAUUCACAUUUGAAGGUUUCUACACUUCCUAAGCACCUCAUGACUAUAAUAUCAGCUUACUAUCUGAUAUGUCCUCUCUCUGAGGAUUCUACCAUGCCUUUGCAAAAGACAGACUCAAGGAUUUAACAGGUCUCUUCAUCUCUAACUACUGAGAACUUAAGUCCAUUUAAAGAUUUUGCUUUUAUCUUAUAAGUCCCUUUUGGAUCUUAGAAAUUUUAUGGUGCAUUUUGUUCUUUUGAAGUGACGUGUGAGAUUUUCUGUCAGCAGGAAUCUGCUUCAGUCUGGUCUGGAUUUUGGGAAGGGACCCCAGCUCUAUGGGCUAGCUAGGGCAGGCCCCAAUGAACAGAAAAUGAGGGGACAACAGGGGCUGGUAAGUCUCUAACAUUAAAAUGCUUUUGUGGCAACAUCCUCAGCUGAUGUAAAUCACAAUAGCUCUAUUUAAGUCAAUGGAGCUAUGUUAGUUCACAGCAGCUGAUGAUCUGCCCAUUUAUGUUUUAAAAAGAGAAGAAAAAUCCCAAACUCAAGCAAAAUUUACCUUGUGCAGCCUGGCCUGUGGAUGGUAUCCUGGUUUGUGUCAUGCUUGAGAUGAACAGAAUGCACAAAUUAUUUCUUUCAUCUGCUGUUAAAUGUCAAAAAUGAGUAAUAGACAAAACCCUUAAAACAUAAACUAAUAUGUGAGAGACCUAAUUAAUUUAGAAAAAAGUGAGAAAAUUAGGUUUUUUAAAUUGUAUCUAAUUUAAUUAGAAUUUUACAGUCCAGUUAGCAGCAAAAGAAGACUCUGUUGUAGAAACUGUGGGUCUUUGUGAACUGACUGGCUAUGUAGUGUGCUAAGGGCUAGAAAUAAUAGGCAGAUGAAUGAUCCUUCCAAAGCAAAAUCACACAGUCCGUCCAGCUCUGUCAGAUAUUCUGUCCUAUUUGUUCUCAGAUGCUCCUGUUCACUGUAAAGUAAAGCAGAUGAUGAAGCAAUAAAAGGCAUCCAACACAAACAGCAAUUCAGCUAAACAGGGAAACAAAGAUAACUGAGAACCUGUCUCUGUCCAUAACAAAGGGAAGAACCAAGGAGAAAGCAAGUGGCCAGACGCUCCUUGUAUUUGUUAAAAUAAUGUACGAAAAUUCACAUUUUCUGCUGUGGUGCUCCCUACAAAAUCCAGGAUUGCAGAGCGAGAGUACUGUGAUUCCUGGCUUGAUGAGCACAACAGCUCCCAGGAGGUGGUGCUCCAGGGCAAGAGAUGGAGGAGGUUGGUGUAGAUGUUUUCAAACUACCUUUAAGAGAAAGGAGUCAAUGCAGGAAAAGUUUCACAGGGCUCAUUCCCUUUCCAG
Molecule: long non-coding RNA, 2814 nt
Organism: Mauremys reevesii (Reeves's turtle)
Lineage: Eukaryota; Metazoa; Chordata; Testudines; Geoemydidae
Exons: 5
Source: RefSeq, a predicted model, not a curated record